UUUUAAAUUUUAAUUUCUUGGGAAAAAAAAAUGUUGAAAUCCAAAAUACCAGGAGAAUGGGCAGUUGGAACUUUAUAGAAAUUUUUAACCAACAAUCUUUCGAAGAUAUUUGGUGGUUAAAGUCUUUCCAGACUUUUAUUGCCCUUUUUCAGGAUCUUCACUUUUUACGAAUGGAACCACAAUGGACCUUUAGUUUUAAAACCACAGAGCUCCGAUCCGGAUGGACUAAUACUUUGUUUUUGCCAUGAGCUUAAAUUUAUAUAUAACAUUGAAAUGUGUUGAUGUUUCUCUUUAUGCGGUUGUUCCACCCGGAAGGGAUAUAGCCAUCUGGUCUAAAAACGCUUGGAUUAGUCGAUAUACUAAAAAAUAAAUAUGGGUAAAUAAGAACAACAAUUAUUAAAUAUUGGGCAUAAUCCACAUAGUUCCAACAUUCAUUAAAAAAAAUAAAAAGUUAUUCGAUCAUAUAAGUAAAAAAAUUAUAUACACUUUUUUAGCCAAAAAAAUCAAAAUUAUCAUAUAAGUCAAAAAAUUAUAUACACAAUUUUAGGUCAAAAUUUUUCCUAAUUAUAUUGUAUUAGAUAUUAAUGUUCUAAAUCAUUAGAUAGUUAGUUUUAGUUUUUAAUUUCGUGAUCCUUUAUCGUUUUUAAAAAAUUUUAGAGAAGUAGGUACAUUUAAAAAUAUACAUUUUAAAAUACUUCUAUUGGUCAAACA
Lucilia cuprina (Australian sheep blowfly) is the source of this 711-nucleotide long non-coding RNA. RefSeq lists it as uncharacterized. Lineage: Eukaryota; Metazoa; Arthropoda; Insecta; Diptera; Calliphoridae. The record is from RefSeq and is a predicted model, not a curated record. The transcript has 3 exons.